Molecule: small RNA, 114 nt
Filed under: Serratia fonticola
Lineage: Bacteria; Pseudomonadati; Pseudomonadota; Gammaproteobacteria; Enterobacterales; Yersiniaceae
Description: t44 RNA
Rfam family: t44 RNA
About the family: This family consists of a number of bacterial RNA genes of between 135 and 170 bases in length. The t44 gene is found between the map and rpsB genes in all species in the full alignment apart from Shigella flexneri. The function of this RNA is unknown.
Source: RNAcentral
ACUGCACUCACAUUGUGUAAAUAACACACACGUAUCGACACAUCCGCCGGGGUGCCUUGAGAUGGCUCACGUCAUUGUCCGGGUCGGCGUUAUGGGAUACGUGGAGGCAUAACC